GACGAACGCUGGCGGCGUGCUUAACACAUGCAAGUCGAACGGAAAGGCCCUGCUUUUGUGGGGUGCUCGAGUGGCGAACGGGUGAGUAAAACGUGAGUAACCUGCCCUUGACUUUGGGAUAACUUCAGGAAAAUGGGGCUAAUACCGGAUAGGAGCUCCUGCUGCAUGGUGGUGGUUGGAAAGAUUCGGCGGUGGGGGAUGGACUAGCGGCUUAUCAGCUUGUUUGUGGGGUAGUGGCUUACCAAGGCUUUGACGGGUAGCCCGCCUGAGAGGGUGACCGGCCACAUUGGGACUGAGAUACGGCCCAGACUCCUACCGGAGGCAGCAGUGGGGAAUAUUGCACAAUGGGCGGAAGCCUGAUGCAGCAACGCCGCGUGCGGGAUGACGGCCUUCGGGUUGUAAACCGCUUUCGCCUGUGACGAAGCGUGAGUGACGGUAAUGAGUAAAGAAGCACCGGCUAACUACGUG
Molecule: ribosomal RNA, 468 nt
Filed under: uncultured bacterium
Lineage: Bacteria
Description: partial 16S ribosomal RNA
Rfam family: Bacterial small subunit ribosomal RNA
Source: RNAcentral